Molecule: long non-coding RNA, 350 nt
Filed under: Homo sapiens (human)
Lineage: Eukaryota; Metazoa; Chordata; Mammalia; Primates; Hominidae
Description: HSALNT0325987
Source: RNAcentral
AUGAAACAGAAGUUUCCAGCCCCACCAGGAGCUCUUAUUCACCUCCUGCUGACUCGGGAAGCUGUUCCACCAUCCAUCACGCAAGGAAAAGUUUAGAAGAGAAAGCAUGAUUUACAUUGGAUCCGUUGACAUCAUCAUGUGAUGGAGAGGCCUUUGGAGUCAGCCAGACUCAUCUCAACUCUGCCACUUACUCAUUGUAUGAAACGCGGAAAAGUUCAGUAAAACCACCAAGUAAGUGGUGGAGCUGGGACUCAGUCCAGGCACCCAGACAACCUGGUUCCAGAGUUGGGCUCUACAUUUUACUGCCAAUGCAGUUCAUGGAAAUAACAAAGAUGUGACCUGGAGAAAUA